RNAcentral lists this long non-coding RNA (753 nucleotides) under Arabidopsis lyrata. RNAcentral's name for it is "long non-coding RNA (ALYR_LNC000823)". Lineage: Eukaryota; Viridiplantae; Streptophyta; Magnoliopsida; Brassicales; Brassicaceae. The record is from RNAcentral.
GCCCAUCUGAGCUUGAUCAUUCGACCUCGCCUCCUAGUAAUAACUUUUUGAAGCUGGAUCAUUUUGUUUUGCAGUAACCGGGAAACUGUGGCCAAAGCUGUACCAAAUCAAGCUAAAACAAGCAUCAGCAAAGAGCGGAAAAUAUAUCGAGCAACAAUGCUUGGUAUGAAAAAAUUAAGCAUGGUAAUGGUUAGAAAGGUUAAAAAGGCUAAUGUACCAUCAAUUCUUAACAUUAGCGUUUAGCAAACUUCAAUGAUGGAAGAUGAGAAUCAAAACCUCGUACCUUGAAAAUCCAAAAUCGCGGCAAAAGGCAAUUACAAUUCCCCUUAGUUAACAAAAGUCUCUCCCAAUAUCAAGGACUUCUGAGAUUGGAUCGGUACGUGAAUAGCUUGAAACGAAAUCGAAAUCGAAAAUCGACGACGUCUCUGCAACAGCCAUGAGAGGACGGGAUCCAGACGAACUGCGCGUUCGUUGGUUGCUGUUUUUUACGAUCGGCAAUGGAAUAUUGGAAUUGGUAAUUUCGAAAUUACGAUAUUACCCAUCGGUUAACACCAGAGGAGAUCGGUCCCUCAUGGUGACAGAGUGGGAAAUCUCCAUCCAAUUACUCUUUUUUUUUUCUUUCUAUUAAUCUCAUUUAAUCCACAUUCAAUUUACUUUAAGCAUCAAAGUUAUUUCAUCCUUGAUGUCUUCUUGACUACAUUCACGUUUGUAACAAGUAACCACCUAUCUUAAUUACAUAAAUUAAAACCCAUG